This 364-nucleotide ribosomal RNA is filed under the name uncultured bacterium. Its description in RNAcentral is "partial 16S ribosomal RNA". It matches the Rfam family "Bacterial small subunit ribosomal RNA", at positions 338 to 699 of the family's 1533-position model. The record is from RNAcentral.
CCUACGGGAGGCAGCAGUGAGGAAUAUUGGUCAAUGGACGCAAGUCUGAACCAGCCAUGCCGCGUGCAGGAAGACGGCCCUAUGAGCUGUAAACUGCUUUUGUACGAGGGUAAAAGCAGAUACGCGUAUCUGUCUGAAAGUAUCGUACGAAUAAGGAUCGGCUAACUCCGUGCCAGCAGCCGCGGUAAUACGGAGGGUUCAAGCGUUAACCGGAUUUCUUGGGGUUAAAGGGUGCGUAGACGGUCGGGUAAGUCAGAGGUGAAAUCCCGAGGCUCAACUUCGGAAUUGCCUCUGAUACUGUUCGGCUAGAGAGUAGGUGCGGUAGGCGGAAUGUAUGGUGUAGCGGUGAAAUGCUUAGAGAUCA